GCAAAGUCUGGGCCACACCCGUCUACUGCAUCAGAAACUCUGGAAUCUGGGUCUUAACAAACCCUCCAAGUGAUCCUGAUGCCAGCUCAAGUUUGACCCCAGAUUAGAGGGACACAAUGAGAAGGCUGGCACUCCAGGGUGGGACCUUCCCCGGGUCCCCCAAAGCAUCAGUCAAGUCUACCCAGGUGAUGAAUUUGCUUCGUGCAAGGGUUUAGGAGCAUGGAGUCCAAUCCUCCCGGCUCUAAGCAGGACCCAGCCAGCCUGCUCUACCCAGAGCCUUCCUUAGCUACUCCCAGCCACGCAAUGUCAAUCACAACCUCCUGCCUCUCCGGCAGGCCAGGGCAGUGGAAGUUCUGACCAGUUCCUCAGCCCAGAAGACCUCCCAGGAACCUGGCCUGCCUCUGUCCUGAGCUUUCACACAGGGUUCCUCAAGCUCGGCCCUGCUGACAUCUGGGAUUGGGUAAUUCUUAGGUGGGGGCACUGUCCUAUGCAUUAAAGGAUGUUUAGCAUCA
Molecule: long non-coding RNA, 512 nt
Filed under: Equus asinus (donkey)
Lineage: Eukaryota; Metazoa; Chordata; Mammalia; Perissodactyla; Equidae
Description: lncRNA (ENSEASG00005034672.1)
Source: RNAcentral